UCUCUGGUGGCCCAGUGGUUGGGUAUCUGCCUGCUAAUGCAGAGAACAUGGGUUCAAUCCCUAGUCUCAGAG
Molecule: transfer RNA, 72 nt
Filed under: Capra hircus (goat)
Lineage: Eukaryota; Metazoa; Chordata; Mammalia; Artiodactyla; Bovidae
Also listed under: 1 other name
Rfam family: tRNA
About the family: Transfer RNA (tRNA) molecules are approximately 80 nucleotides in length. Their secondary structure includes four short double-helical elements and three loops (D, anti-codon, and T loops).
Source: Rfam by way of RNAcentral